Molecule: ribosomal RNA, 254 nt
Filed under: uncultured bacterium
Lineage: Bacteria
Description: partial 16S ribosomal RNA
Rfam family: Bacterial small subunit ribosomal RNA
Source: RNAcentral
UACAGAGGUGGCAAGCGUUGUUCGGAAUUACUGGGCGUAAAGGGCGCGUAGGCGGUCAGCACAAGUCAGUUGUGAAAUCUCCGGGCUUAACUCGGAAAGGUCAACUGAUACUGUGCGACUAGAGUGCGGAAGGGGCAACUGGAAUUCUCGGUGUAGCGGUGAAAUGCGUAGAUAUCGAGAGGAACACCUGCGGCGAAGGCGGGUUGCUGGGCCGACACUGACGCUGAUGCGCGAAAGCCAGGGGAGCGAACGGG